Molecule: unclassified non-coding RNA, 755 nt
Filed under: Hevea brasiliensis (rubber tree)
Lineage: Eukaryota; Viridiplantae; Streptophyta; Magnoliopsida; Malpighiales; Euphorbiaceae
Source: RNAcentral
GGGAAAACAUAAUUUGGAAAAAUUUGAAACUAAAUCAAGUUUAAUGAGGGAACUUAGUAAAUAAGAUCAAGACCAGGAAUACUCCCACCCAUCUUUGUCCUGGAAUGCAUUUCUCUGUAUUCAUGGAAAUAACUUAAGCUUUUAUGAAUUAUCUAUUUGCAGCGUUCAACUUUCUCAAAUGGAACUUAAAUAUAUGUGUAUAUUUUUGGUAGAAUGGGGAAUGCUUGAAUGCUUGGAUUAAACAUAUUAAUUCUAAUUAAUGAAGCCAAAUGAACAUGAAAAAAUGUGCACUAGGUUUAGCCUUCACAAAAACCACUCACAUUUGUUCAGCCUAUAAAUGAAGUCUCUUUUUAUUCUUAUCCUCUGGAAUGAUAGGUAAUGUUGAUGUUCUAUUUUAGAUUGCAGUAUUUGAAAGUGGCCUUCUGUGCCAUUUGUUCAGUGUAUAAUUGCAUCCAGUAAUGUUAGGUAAGAUUUGGAGGAAAAGAUGUUUGUAAAAUAUAUUUUAUGAUGUGUUGAGACUUGACAUUGCUAAUGUAGAGAUAUCAUCCUGUUGUUUCAAUGUGUAAUCAAACAAUAUGGUAAUCAAUCUUGCCAGGGAAUCAGUAAUUCUACCCUGAUCAUUCAAUCCUUUUUCACUUAACCCAUCCAUAUAUCUAUACUUCUUGAGAUAAAUUGAAAUGCUGGGUUGAUCUCCUUGAAGUUCAGUUUCAAAUUACUUGUAAAAUCAAUCUCAUUUGUUAACUGUUUUCCUUCCA